This is a long non-coding RNA of Mustela erminea (ermine), 2631 nucleotides long. RefSeq lists it as uncharacterized. Lineage: Eukaryota; Metazoa; Chordata; Mammalia; Carnivora; Mustelidae. The transcript has 2 exons. The record is from RefSeq and is a predicted model, not a curated record.
GGGGCAGAGCAUUCAAAUAAGAGAUACGGAAACUAUAAAGAACAUGACAUGAUGACAAGGAAACAACCAACCAGAUCAGGUGAGGAGCCCCCACCAGAAGGGGCAGCCUCGCCCCACUGGCCUCACGGCUACCUCUGUGCCUGCUGGAAAGCCCCCAGCUCACGGUGGAGAACCCCGGCGUCCCAUCACAGCUCUGCAGCACCAACGAGCUCCUGACGGACACAGAGCUCCGUGUCUUCACCCAGAAACCCAGAACGUGACCUCAUCCGCUUGCAGAAUCAACUGAAAUGUGUGAAAAUGUGCAAGCUGUAAGGUUUUUGAUUUUGGUUUUUUGUUUUGGGUUGUAUUUUUUUUUUUUUUUUAGGUUGAAUGGAAGACUCCAUGUUCAAACAAAUAUUUUCCAAUCUCUCAAUCUGAAAAUGUCUUUUGGUGGACGAGGUACCCAGCAGUAUGCCGUGGCCCUCGGCACGCACUGGAGUCCCCUGACGGACCGGAGAGAGCACUAAGACCUGUUUGCAAACAGCACCCGGGUGCAUCAGAAACCUCCUGGAAAAGGCAUCAAACCCAGAUUUCCAGGCCCCGCGGCCAGUUUCUGCCCGAGAAGGUCCACGGUGCAGCCCGGGGUCAUGCAUGGCCAGCAAGCUCCCAGGUCACGCCACGGCUCCUGGGGCCAGUCCGGGGACCGCACUUUGAGAAGCCCCGCCCUCCACAAUGGAAGGCUGGAAACGACGGCAAGGAUCACCCAGCGUGGUCCCAAGGAGAGCCCAGGAACACUCCCAGGGCCGAGGUGGGUUAAGAGGGCCUGGUCCGGUCCCGCGGCUGGAGUGAUGGAUGCGAGGCUGUUGCACCUGCCACCUCGGUCACAGGCGGGGCUGAGGACAGGAGCUCCAGCACCCCAUUAGCACAUACGACCGGGAGCCCCUGCCGGUUCCCAUUUCCUGCACCUGGGGGUUGCAAAAGGAGGCCACAUAGAUGCCGAGACGCCACCUUCAACACCCAGCCCACUCUCCUCCCUACCCUCCAAGCCAGGGCUCCGUGCCUCCCUUCCAGAAAUAAACUGCAGUGGCUACUCAGCAAGGUAUCGAGGUGGGGAGGGUGGAGACCGGGACCCCAGGGAAGAGAGGGAGCACAGCAGAGCCCCAGGACAGCUGAGUGGAGGCCAAACCCCUCCAUCCUGAGCAGAGCCUGGAGACAGUGGUCUCUGCGGAGGGGGGUGGGGGGGGCGGGCACGCACGCACACUGCACCCAGUGUCCAGCCGCACAAUGCACAAGGGGCCGCCGGGGCAGGCGGCCAGGGCCCACUCAUGCCAGUACCAUCUGGGAGCCCUUGCCAGGCCUCGGAGGGCCGGCAGAAGAAGCUGGACUCUGUCCUGGGGCACAGUCGGGCUCUAUUCUUAUCUCAAGGGGGAAUGCGUGACCCUCCUUGCCGUGAAUGGGGGCCCCUGGCGAGGCGGAGGAGGAAACAGAGCCGGCACUGUGCCCUGGAGGGCUCCCCACACGGCUCCCGGCUCCGACCAGCCCCUCGUGGCGGGGCCUUGCACAGCUUCCGACAAGGACAGGCCAGACCGGCGGCAGCCGAGGAACUGGACCGCCCCGGGCACGCCGGCCCCCCCCCUCGCACGGCAGGCCGCCAGGCUCCCAGGUGAGACCCACAGGACCAGGCCCUCGAGGCAAUGCAGCUUGCCAGAUCCCGAAGGAAGCAGUCCAGCUGUGCUCCGCACCCAUCAACAACCCCCUGCCCUGCGCAGCAGAUAUGCCCCCACCAACCUCCCCCAGUUACCAUCUGCACUGGGAAUACUUGACCUCAAGGGGCCCGCGUGACCCCGACCUUCAUGUAUCUAAUACUUCUAGAUCUCAUAGUGCAGACCAAGGACCCGCAUGAGAGCCAGAGCUGCCACCGUGUACCCAGAGAUCCGAGUCACCGAUCUCCUGAGUCUGCCAGUAGGAAAGCCCUUUGCGGGGGGUUCAGUGACCAGUGUGGGGGAGGUAGGGGUACCAGGAAAUUCUGGAGGGCUGGGGGGGUGGACAGAAGAGAAGCUACAGAAGCCAGAGUCAUCGGGGGAGGGCUUAAAAUAACUAUUUACUUGUCACCCAUCCCAUGCCACGGCUGUGGGUCUGGUGUGAUUAUUCCCACGGUAAAGAUGAGAAAACAGAGGCCCCGAGAAGACAAGAGCCGUUCCUCACGACGUUGAGUCAGAGCCCAGGUCGGCACGCGGGCCUUCAAUCCAGCACACUCUUUCCACGACCGCGGCCCCCUGCCCGGUGCCCGCGGGACGUGGAAGGACACACAGGAGCGAGGCAUGGGGAAGCGUGUGAGUGAUCAGGGGACUGAUCGAACUUGUCACUACGAGCUGAGUUCCCUUUUUACAUUCUCCCUCUAAAAAAAAGGGGGGAGAGCGGAAAAAAGGAAAAAAGAAAAAAGCUCUGGGUGGGCCUGCCAAUCCCAGUCUUGGCCAACAAAUGGGGAGUUGAGUCAUUCCAAGGGCUGUGAAUCGGUACAACCUUUCCGAAGAGCAAACCAAUUUCAGUGCGAGAAGGUGUCAUCGUGAGGAUGGUCGGUGCCAGGGAUUUUAAGAGUCCAAAAAAAAAAAAAAAAAGGAAGCAACCUCAGUGUCCAUCACUAGGGGAUUA